CUUUGGACGCGUCGUCUCCGAGGAACGUCACGAUGUGCGGGUGAGGCUUGAGAGAGCGGAGGAUUGUUAUUUCGUUCUCGAGGGACUCGGAUUGAGAAGGAAGACACGCGGCGAGGUCUACCGACUUCACGGCGAACACUCCGCCGUCGAGUUUGCUCACGGCUUUGCUUACUGUUCCGAAACAUCCUCUUCAAGGUCUACCGACUUCACGGCGAACACUCUACCGUCGAUUUUGCUCACGGCUUUGCUUACUGUUCCGAAACAUCCCCUUCCGAUGUAAGAACCUCGAAUCCAAGAAGAUGAGGAAGAAGUGUUUGUGUUUGUGAUGCUCUGUUUCUCCAUGUGUGCUGCUUGGUUUGCUAACUAACUUUCGUGUGUAAAUUCUCGAGGAC
Molecule: long non-coding RNA, 392 nt
Filed under: Brassica napus (rape)
Lineage: Eukaryota; Viridiplantae; Streptophyta; Magnoliopsida; Brassicales; Brassicaceae
Description: long non-coding RNA (BNAP_LNC005343)
Source: RNAcentral